GUAAUACGUAGGGUGCAAGCGUUAAUCGGAAUUACUGGGCGUAAAGCGUGCGCAGGCGGUUGUGCAAGACAGGUGUGAAAUCCCCGGGCUUAACCUGGGAAUGGCAUCUGUGACUGCACGGCUAGAGUGUGUCAGAGGGGGGUAGAAUUCCACGUGUAGCAGUGAAAUGCGUAGAGAUGUGGAGGAAUACCGAUGGCGAAGGCAGCCCCCCUGGGAUAACACUGACGCUCAUGCACGAAAGCGUGGGGAGCAAACAGGAUUAGAUACCCUGGUAGUCCACGCCCUAAACGAUGUCUACUAGUUGUUGGGUCUUAAUUGACUUAGUAACGCAGCUAACGCGUGAAGUAGACCGCCUGGGGAGUACGGUCGCAAGAUUAAAACUCAAAGGAAUUGACGGGGACCCGCACAAGCGGUGGAUGAUGUGGAUUAAUUCGAUGCAACGCGAAAAACCUUACCUACCCUUGACAUGUACGAAAGCUUUGAGAGAUCAGAGUGUGCUCGAAAGAGAAUCGUAACACAGGUGCUGCAUGGCUGUCGUCAGCUCGUGUCGUGAGAUGUUGGGUUAAGUCCCGCAACGAGCGCAACCCUUGUCAUUAGUUGCUACGAAAGAGCACUCUAAUGAGACUGCCGGUGACAAACCGGAGGAAGGUGGGGAUGACGUCAAGUCCUCAUGGCCCUUAUGGGUAGGGCUUCACACGUCAUACAAUGGUACAUACAGAGGGCCGCCAACCCGCGAGGGGGAGCUAAUCCCAGAAAGUGUAUCGUAGUCCGGAUUGUAGUCUGCAACUCGACUACAUGAAGUUGGAAUCGCUAGUAAUCGCGGAUCAGCAUGUCGCGGUGAAUACGUUCCCGGGUCUUGUACACACCGCCCGUCACACCAUGGGAGCGGGUUUCACCAGAAGUAGGUAGCCUAACCGUAAGGAGGGCGCUUAC
RNAcentral lists this ribosomal RNA (933 nucleotides) under Herminiimonas sp. DAB_ATA91. Its description in RNAcentral is "bacterial SSU rRNA". It matches the Rfam family "Bacterial small subunit ribosomal RNA", at positions 520 to 1457 of the family's 1533-position model. Lineage: Bacteria; Pseudomonadati; Pseudomonadota; Betaproteobacteria; Burkholderiales; Oxalobacteraceae. The record is from RNAcentral.